This 403-nucleotide ribosomal RNA is filed under the name bacterium. RNAcentral's name for it is "partial 16S ribosomal RNA". It matches the Rfam family "Bacterial small subunit ribosomal RNA", at positions 355 to 776 of the family's 1533-position model. The record is from RNAcentral.
UGGGGAAUAUUGCACAAUGGGGGAAACCCUGAUGCAGCGACGCCGCGUGAACGAAGAAGGUAUUCGUAUCGUAAAGUUCUGUCCUAUGGGAAGAUAAUGACAGUACCAUAGAAGAAAGCUCCGGCUAAAUACGUGCCAGCAGCCGCGGUAAUACGUAUGGAGCGAGCGUUGUCCGGAAUUAUUGGGCGUAAAGGGUACGCAGGCGGUUUAAUAAGUCGAAUGUUAAAGAUCGGGGCUCAACCCCGCAAAGCAUUGGAAACUGAUAAACUUGAGCAGUGGAGAGGAAAGUGGAAUUCCUAGUGUAGUGGUGAAAUACGUAGAUAUUAGGAGGAAUACCAGUAGCGAAGGCGACUUUCUGGACACAAACUGACGCUGAGGUACGAAAGCGUGGGGAGCAAACAGG